This is a long non-coding RNA of Rhea pennata, 1789 nucleotides long. RefSeq lists it as uncharacterized. NCBI's taxonomy places the organism in Eukaryota, Metazoa, Chordata, Aves, Rheiformes, Rheidae. The transcript is spliced from 3 exons. The record is from RefSeq and is a predicted model, not a curated record.
AAGACACUUAGGAGAUGAUAACCUGCUAGGGUGCCUGGCCUCCACUCUUCCUCUGGUCUCAGACCCCCUGUGCGGAUCUGGGGGGAGGUGAGGCCCACAUAGUAUGUCACCUGUGUGGGCUUGGGGCUGCAGCAGGCACCUGAGCUGGGAUGUCCCUGUUGCUUCCUGUGGGCCUGUUUGGAGCAGUCCCUGCAUGUUGGGUUGGGAAACCACAGCGUCUGCAGUGUCGUGGUGGAGAGGGCUUGGCACUGCUUGGAUUUGAAUGGGAUUGAGAUCAGGAGAGUCCCUUUAACCAGCACUCGACAGCUGAGCAAGGCAUGGGGCUUGGGGGCAGAGGGUAUUUGCCAUCGGUGUUGGUCGUGGAGGAAAUCCCCUCUCCCAAAGCCGGCAGGGCAGAAGUGACCGGCCGUGGGCAGCAGGAGAGCUCUGUGGCUCCUUAAAAGAGCUCGGUUUAGGGGAGCAGAGUUUGGCCAGGUUCAGACCCAACCUGAUACUCGAACAGGUUCUGCGAAGCUCCCCCCAAUGGAGACCUCUGUUGUUUUUCUAGGCUUUGAAAGGGGGAAGAAAAACGCAACCAGGAAGCCCCGCAAAGCGGGCGUGGGUGGGUGGGGGGCCCGUGCUGUGGCUGCAGCGACUCCGUGGGAGGUCCCACUUCCGAGAACGAAGAGGAUUUGGGGAGAAACGGGGAACGAUUGCUUGUGAAGAGGGCGCCGCGCUCCCGAGCGGGGUGGUGGUCCCGACUCGGUUCCUGGCCGGUUAACAAAGUUAUUAAUAACCAAUUAAGCCAGCGCCGGCGUUGUGCCGGCCUCCGAGGUUCCUCCCGCAGGACGCAGCGGCCUCCCCUCCGAGGAGAGAGGGUGCGAGGGAGGACGGCGGCUCUCGCGGCCGAGGAGGAGGCUGCUCGCCCGCCCGCUGUUCCCGGGCUGUUCCCGGGCUCCCGCGCAGCGGGGAGGAGGGGGACGGGCCGCUGGAGCGGGGCCCGCCGCGAUAAUUCACGGCGUGCCGGAUGCGCUGCGCGACCCGCCAGGAUCCGGGCGCUGUGCCCCUCCUGAAGCCGCCUAUUCAGGGGGGAGAUGGGGAAGACAAGAGGGAGGAAGCCGAGGGAAGACGGAGCACUGAAGCCUUCUGUUCGCCGCCGGCGACGGAUGCAGGUGCAGCCGCGGCGGCCCUGGACGCUUCGGCUUCUUUGCGCCGCCUUUUCCUGAGGGCAAAGCGGAGGUGCUGGCGGAGGGACGGCUCCAGGCCGCGGCUCCCGGCCCCGCUCUCGCCCGCUUCCCGCGUGGCCUCUGCUCCUGCGGAUCUGGGUGUCGAGAAAUGCUCCUGCAGAAUUGGAAACCACAGCCUUCCUUCGGGCAAAGGAGCUCAGGAGACCCCUGGGCCUGCUGCAAAGGUGACGGCGCAGCUCCAGCAGCGCUUUCAGGCUGACUGAUGUAAGGCACUACCAUUAGCACAGGUUUGCAUACAAAUUGUGUACCUGCAGUCUGGAUGCAGACCCUGUGGACCCAUGUGUCUAAUCAAAGCAGACAACAGCGCAAUUCAGACCUUGCAUAUUUCAAUGAAAUAUUCAUAAGUCCAGGAGGGAGUAAACUGGAGCAAACAUCGCUUCAUAUGAAUCUGAAUAUAUUCCGUAUCCCUCUCAGCAACACGUAGAUAGCUCAGAAAAUUCAGAAGGCAGCUUCCGCAUGUCAAAAAAAAUCCUGCUGCUUUGGCUCUAAGGGCAAUAAUGAUUGCAUUUGCCCAUGUUCACAUUAUUGUCUCACUUCUCAUUUAAUCAAUAAAUUUCCAAAAU